RNAcentral lists this ribosomal RNA (288 nucleotides) under uncultured bacterium. RNAcentral's name for it is "partial 16S ribosomal RNA". It matches the Rfam family "Bacterial small subunit ribosomal RNA", at positions 775 to 1067 of the family's 1533-position model. The record is from RNAcentral.
GGAUUAGAUACCCUGGUAGUCCGCACAGUAAACGAUGGAUGCCCGCUGUUGGUACCUGGUAUCAGCGGCUAAGCGAAAGCAUUAAGCAUCCCACCUGGGGAGUACGCCGGCAACGGUGAAACUCAAAGGAAUUGACGGGGGCCCGCACAAGCGGAGGAACAUGUGGUUUAAUUCGAUGAUACGCGAGGAACCUUACCCGGGCUUGAAUUGCAGAGGAAGGAUUUAGAGAUAAUGACGCCCUUCGGGGUCUCUGUGAAGGUGCUGCAUGGUUGUCGUCAGCUCGUGCUG